AUACGUAGGGGGCUAGCGUUGUCCGGAUUUAUUGGGCGUAAAGAGCGUGUAGGCGGCUAGGUAGGUCCGUUGUGAAAACUCGAGGCUCAACCUCGAGACGUCGAUGGAAACCAUCUAGCUAGAGUCCGGAAGAGGAGAGUGGAAUUCCUGGUGUAGCGGUGAAAUGCGCAGAUAUCAGGAAGAACACCCGUGGCGAAGGCGGCUCUCUGGGACGUGACUGACGCUGAGACGCGAAAGCGUGGGGAGCAAACAG
RNAcentral lists this ribosomal RNA (253 nucleotides) under uncultured prokaryote. RNAcentral describes it as "partial 16S ribosomal RNA". It matches the Rfam family "Bacterial small subunit ribosomal RNA", at positions 523 to 775 of the family's 1533-position model. The record is from RNAcentral.